AGCUCCCCCUAGCUGCUACUUCUUAUUUCCUUGUUAAUGCUAAGAAUGAGCUCCUCUUUCAAACUUUAACAAACAGUACAUAAAGAUCUACCCAUUGGCAUUUAACUGAUCUUGUUGCCUGUAAGGAAUAUUUCUACUCUUACCUCUUCAGUUUGCUAUCUCCCUCAGCUGCGUGUCUUCCCAGAAGUCAAUGCAGGAUGGGCAGUUUCAUCUGAGAUCAUUGUGGAGGGGUGGACAGAUGGACUAUACCAUUAUCUUACAGGGUCCUGGUACAUGAAAAAGAUUAGCUCUUUCAUUGACCUUGAAAUAUUCCUAAUGCAAACCAUUUGUUUACUCUCUCAAUUAUGAAUAUUAAUAUACUGGCCAGAAAAUGGUCAGUAUUUAAUUGCUAUCUAUCUAUCCAUCCAUCCAUCCAUCCAUCUUUUAAUCUAUAGAAAGUGUAGGUACUGUCUGUGGUGCUGCAGGACUCCAGAUGUCAUGUGAUCAUUCACACUGUGAAACGAUGUAGACCUGCUUUAGGCCUUACUGUGGCAUCAAUGGUAAUGUAUGUUCCUCUUAAGGUGGAAUGAUUCAAAAUGUGUGUAGUCAGUUCCUAAAACGUAUAGUUCCUGUUUUCCUACUUGUGCACUAAGACACAGACACGAUGAGGAAGUGGUUGACAGCACUAUGACACAGACUGCAUAGACAAAAAAAUUAUUCUCUCCACAUUUAAUAAGAUUACUCUUAAAAUUGAUGACAUUGUAAAUGGCCAUUCCAAAGUGGAGACCCUGCAGUUGGAUGACAGCAAGGACACAGACACAGAUGGAAAAAUAGUGACAUUCCUCAGGAAAACUCGACAGAGUAAAGCUGUCCUUGUGUCUACUGAUGGCAUGAACCAGAAACCCAGCUAACUGCUUCUCCAGAAGCUCCACAGCAGCUUUGGCGUCUCUCUUCCUCGCAGGACCUUCUAUCGUCUGUUUUACGCUCUCGUUGGGCACAGGCUGAGGGUUGCUGCUGAACGAGAUCACCAGAAUCGUAUCCAUAUGAUUGCCUCUCAGACUUGACAGAAGAGUCUUUGCAAGCGUUUCUGGCUGAUGACGUGAAAUGACGCAGAACAAGACUAAAGAUCUGUCUUCUGUGAUGUCACAAAGGUGAUAACCAACACAGAGUGUCGAGUGAAUCAGGAAGUGACCCGUCCCAACAGCAUUCUCUACUCUGAGGAGCGGCCAUCUUUAAAGCUCUCCAACAGUUCACUCAGAGAAGCUAAUUUAUCAAAAUAAUCGUGCAAAAUCACAUAAAUACACAACAAUAUAUAUGAUUUACAUGCUUAUAGCACAUUUAAGUGUGUUUUAUUUAUCAGGGACCAUCAUUAACAUGCUUCCUCUCUUUCUUUUAUGCAGCAUUGCCUGCAUGUAAAAUUGGCCACUUCCCUUGAACAGGAAGCCAAGGGAUUCAGACCCAAUAACUGCAGACCAUCUUUAUCUAACCAAAGCACAACAAUACGACAUCUUCCUCUGUUCUUCCAACCAAUACACCAUUCCAAGACCUGUAAAAAAUCCAUAUACUGGCAUGCAUUAGGACCAAUGUACAUCCCAAUGAGCCCAUCCAUCCAUUAGUGGCCUGGCCAUUGGAGAACACAGCUCCUCUUACCUCUUCAGAUUGCUACCUCGUCUCCAAAGUCCCAACACCGACUGUACUUCUUCUUCCCAGCAAACACUGCAAAAGAGGCUCUUCCAUUUUAGCUCAAUAUGGAGGGGUGUUCAAACUGGACUAUACCAUUUAAACUGGUGUACAGAUGGCCCUGGAGCCUCAAAAAUGGCCCUUUGGCCACCAUAUAAUGCAAGUCUCCACUUGCUCCAUUGCAGAGGCAUAUAUGAACCCCUAUUGACCAGCCCCCUCCUCAAGCCACAGAUGACCUCCCCCAAUGACAUUCAAAUAUUUCAGGCUUCCAACAGUCAGAUAGUCUAUACAGAGAGCUGACUGUCACGUCUGGAGGCAGCUGUGGGCGCAGACAGGCUCUAAACAGGCCAGCUGCCAAGCUCUGCCAUUGGGUACAAUUGGUGCAGGCUAUUCAUAGGGGACAUUUUAUUAAAAUAAAGCUUUAAAUAAUUAAUUAAAGGUUAGAAUGAACCAAAUGUAUUAAAAUGGGGGACUGAAAUAUGAGACAUCUAUUUCAUAUGCUGGCACAGAGUUAAAAAGGACACCUUUCCAAUGGUGUCAGUGUGUUUCCAAAUAGGACACCUGUUUCUAGCAUUAAAAAAAGCUGUAAUGAGCCCUUAAAAAUAAAUUAUUAAGGUUAAUUUAUCAACAGGUAUAUACGUAUGGAUUUUAGUCCAACUAGUGUUGAUUCAUUGCUUAAUAACCAUAUGAAAUGCCUCUUUAUCAUAAUUUCUGAUGGCAGACAUUUCCAAACCACCUUUCCUUUAAAGUCAACAAAUAUGCUCUAAAAUGAGCUGUUUAAUUAUCUCUUUAAUGUAUGAAUCAGCAUACAAUAACAAUAAUAAUCCAAUGAAAUGAGAAAUUAUAAACAACCAGUUGAAUUUCUGGGGAUCAUGCUUCUUAUAAUGCUGUAACUUGCAAGUCAUUUACAUUUGUUCUAUACAUACAAAAAGCAGGCAAUUUUGUCUGCAAAAUGGUGCAAACACUGGAUAUGUGUUUGAACUGUGAUGGCUAGAAUAUUGUAACAUCUCAAAAUAUAACUAAAACUAAAAAUAACUCCCGCACAAGGCAACAUCUGAGUGUACAAAGGUGUGAACAGGAUAAGGAUAACAUUUAAAGUCACAGCUGUUAGAAAGAAGUCAUCAUAUUUUUAGGCCUAUGAAAAGGUUUUUUUUAAUGUUUUGUCUGUAAUUUAAUUUUUGCUCUUUCUGGCUCACAUUUCUUAUGUUUGCAUAUAUAUCUGAUAAUUAAUGUAGCUAUAGCUUUCAAUAGAAAUUGACAGUUUGAAUCUGUC
Carassius carassius (crucian carp) is the source of this 2932-nucleotide long non-coding RNA. RefSeq lists it as uncharacterized. The transcript is spliced from 6 exons. Lineage: Eukaryota; Metazoa; Chordata; Actinopteri; Cypriniformes; Cyprinidae. The record is from RefSeq and is a predicted model, not a curated record.